UACGUAGGGGGCAAGCGUUAUCCGGAUUUACUGGGUGUAAAGGGGGCGCAGACGGCGAUGCAAGCCAGGAGUGAAAGCCCGGGGCCCAACCCCGGGACUGCUCUUGGAACUGCGUGGCUGGAGUGCAGGAGGGGCAGGCGGAAUUCCUGGUGUAGCGGUGAAAUGCGUAGAUAUCAGGAGGAACACCGGUGGCGAAGGCGACCUGCUGGACUGCAACUGACGUUGAGGCCCGAAAGCGUGGGGAGCAAACAGG
RNAcentral lists this ribosomal RNA (253 nucleotides) under uncultured bacterium. RNAcentral describes it as "partial 16S ribosomal RNA". It matches the Rfam family "Bacterial small subunit ribosomal RNA", at positions 524 to 776 of the family's 1533-position model. The record is from RNAcentral.